This 6588-nucleotide long non-coding RNA is filed under the name Linum usitatissimum (flax). RNAcentral describes it as "long non-coding RNA (LUSI_LNC005355)". Lineage: Eukaryota; Viridiplantae; Streptophyta; Magnoliopsida; Malpighiales; Linaceae. The record is from RNAcentral.
AAGCGGUUGGAGUUGAUGUGGAAGAGGGCGAGGUCGCGGAGGAGGCCAAGCUGCUCGGGGAGGAUACCGGCGAUGUUGGCGUGGUUGAGGUCGAUGCCGGCGACGGUGGCAAGGGAGGGCUGGUCGGGAGCAGGAGCACAGUAGACGCCGGUGUAAUUGCAGACGUCUGGGCCGGCCCAGUUGGUGGUGAAGCCCAGUGGGUCGGAGACGAUGACGAGCUUCCAUGAUUGGAGGGCGAUGUAGGCAUCCAUGAGGCGAGGGUUCUGGAUGUAGAUUGGUGGGUAGAUUACUUGUUGAGAUUGGGAUUUUGAUAGCAGCAUCAUCAUCAGAAUGUGAGUGAUUAUCAAAAGCGACGCGAGAUUUCUGGGAGUGAGAUUGGGAUGUGACUGUGAGUUCUUCUUCUUUGUCGUCAUAUUUUGUUUUGUUUUGUUUUUUUAAAGGAAAAGAGGCGCUAAUAAAUGUCGUGUGAGUUGCGAAAUGAAGGGUUUGUUGUUGUUGUUGUUGUUGUUGGUGUUUAAGAAAUGAAAUGAAAUGAAGCCUCCUUGUCUUCUCAUCUCUCUCCCUUCUGUUCUGUACGCGCAAGGUCUUAUAUUAGGGCCAUUGGAUAUAGUUACGUACACAUGACAAAACUGCAACGUGCUUAAAUUCUGUGUGUUUUUUAUUAAAAUAAAUAUUAACAUCAUAACUUUUUAAAUAUGCAAUGGCGGAUCCAGGAUACAAAUAUGCAUUGAGCUGGAUUUAAAUAGAUUUUUUGUAUGUCUAUCGAGUAAGUAAUUGACAAAUUAAUCCUAAUACUAAUUUUUUUAAAUAAAAACAAAUUCAUUGUACUGCUUUUAGUUGAAAAUGUAAUAUAUGUGGCACCGGCGAGUUUUUUGUCUUAUAUUUGAAUAUUUUGAAUUAAAUUUAUGAUUGUUACUUAUUUUAAACAAAUAAAUAGAAGCGCAAAACUUUAAAUAAUAUUACCCGAGUUAUGAAAUCAUCAAAAUUGUACAUAUAAUUUAGUACUCGAGACAAAAAAUAAAAUAUUGUGAUUAUAAUUGAUGUGAAAUAUGAGUAACUUUUUAGGGUGGAUAAAUGAUCGCUAUUGAAUAUGCUCUUACGUAGACACAUUUUUUUAAGUCCAAAGUUGAAAGCCAUAUGAAUCCCCUUAGCAUAUUGAAUUAGUUCCACAGUGUAUGAUAUCACCCAUCUAGUUUCAUUGUAAAUAUUCUGAUGAAGUAACCAUCGUCUUACCUGCCAAAUGAUAUGUAAAACGUCAACAAUAGAAACUCAAGUGUUAAGGCAAUUGUGCAUAUUUCAGUUUUUGUAUAGUUCAAUAAAUAUUUUGGGAUUAAAGAUUGUAUGUAGAUCAUCGUUUGGAGUGGAUAUAGAGGAGGCAUAGAGUGGGCAGGAGUCACAUGAGGGAGCCCCGAAGAGGAACAACUGGUUAGAUUAGAAUUAACGUUAUUGAUGAUGAUGAUGAUGAUGCAGUUUUGCCCUUAUAUAUAUAUUAAAUUGUAGUAUCCUUGGUGGUUGGAUACAUUCAAUUACUCCUCCCACAGACCACAAUAACGUUAUAUACCAUCCUCAUGAUGAAUAUUCAUUUAUCAUUAUUUCUCUGCAAUCACACCUGUCUAUGUUUUCUUAUCCCCCCUUGGUUUUCUAUAUAUACUGUAUUAUAUGCUACAAAAUCAUACGUAUUUGUUACAUAUCAUAAUGCACAAAGCUAGCUCGUUUCUUAUAAGCUGACGUACUACUGGAGUAGGUGGUAAGAAGAAGGAAACUCCCACGACGUACCAUACAUAGGCUGUAGCGAUUUAUGAGAUGGAACCAAACAAUGAAUUUGGUAGCCAGCCAGCCAGCCAGCCUAAUAAACGGACUUGAAAAGUUUUUGGAGUUAAUAAUUAAGGGAUUGUAGUGGGCAUGCAGCAGUAGCUGGACCAGUAGUAGUACGGGUGAGGGGGCGUUUAAUUAUCCUGGAGGUGGGUGCCAUUAAUGUUAUCAUCUCCCUAACUUCAUUAUAGUACAGUUUAACCUAGCUAGCUCUCAAAAUUCCUUUACUCAAGUGUUAUUAUAUAUCAUGCAUAUAUCUUACGUCAAUCCACAUCCUUUGCUUGCUCAACCAAAUCAUGCUUAUAUAUAACUGGAUGUACAAGUUGUGCUCAAACUAUAUGGAAAAUCAAAUGUCCUUUCUUGUCCCCCCCCCCAACAAAAUUCAAAUGUGAAAAGGACCAUGAAUGUUGUUGCUCUAACUUGGGUUUUUACAGGAGGAGGGUUUCAUUGAACCAUAUGUGGGUAAAUGAGGAGACUCCCAAGUCCACAGUACUAUCACAGGGCUGCACGUACGGGUGAGACUUUAUAACAUUUUAGCACCCACUCAACAAACUCUCUCUCUCUCUCUCUCUUUCUCUAGCUUUGCUUUGCAGUGUAUUCAAUUCCAUGACAUUUACUACUACUGCUAUUCUACUGUUAACAGCCAGGGGGGUGCGUUUAUAUGUAACAAACCCUUCAGUUUUCGGGACCAGCUGUUAAUGAUUAAUUUAUUACAUCAAUUAAGAUGCUCUUGCAAAACGUUUCUGCAGCUCAAUGAGGUGAAAACAGACCCACGUACAUCCUUUAAUCCUCGCCAAUGCAAGCGCCAUAUAAUAUUUCUAUUUCUUCUGUGUUUUUAUUCUAGUUCCAACCACAACAUACUUUUCACUUGUUCAUUUGUACAUUGCUUACCAACUCAUAUAUUAGAGUAGUUUAAGUUAUUAUUUUUGUGCUUCCAAUCAUCUUUAUAUUAGAAACCCUUGAAUACGGGUUAACAUCUCAAACAUUAACUUCUACUCGACAGCAAAAGUGAAAGCAAAUAAGAAAUUAUUGUCAAGCAUAACGAAAUAUGCGAAACUAAGAAAGCAAUAAACGAUUGGUGGAGCCCGAGUUUUCGCCGACAGAUCACUCCUCGGGGCAGGACCUGUGGUUCAGACCUGCCGUUGCCAGGUUUUUUGAGUUUUCCUAAAUACUCUUCAUAUGUUUGGAGGGGCUCUCGUUCUUCGCCUCUGUUAGCUGCAACGCAUCAAGCUGUUAUUGCGUUAUUGUAUUCAUAACAAAUGUUGGAGUGCUCGCAAUGGUGAUUGAAAGGAGGGUGGAAAAUUGGCGAUGAUAAUGAUGAUGAUGGAGAUCAACGACGAUGAUGGGGCUCGGCAAUGAUGAUGAUGGUGAAAAAAAAAUGUUGUGAGCGGCGUUGACGCUGAAUCUAAAACCAAAAAUUAUAAAACCUUAAAAAUCGCCUUUCAACAAAAGGAAGACUUUUGCUAACCAAUUUUUUUAUAUUUUUUGGUGAGAAACCGUCUUUUUUUGAUAUGGAAUAUAAGUUACUAACUUGUAGAUCGAAAUCUUUUAAAUAAUUGAUCCAGAUCAUUGUAAUAUUUUUCUCAUAGCAAUGGCUGGGCUUUCACCCUGGGCACUAUUUGGACUUGCUGUCUAACCAAAAUGAAAUUGGGGCACUGAGGUGUAUCCCUCUGGGCCUUGUAAACCACUAAAAUAUAAAUAUCCGAACCUAUAAACCUAAAAUGAUCAACCAGUAAAACUAACUUUCAAGAGUUUAAUUUUAACCAUGAAAAAUUUAGGGGCAGGUUUGAAAUUUAGGAUGAUAGGGUGUUCAGGAUCCAGCCGUCCAGGAUGAUUAUGGAUUGUCGGGUUUUAAGGGUUUGGCCUAUUUAACUAUUUAAUAGAUUUGUAUAAAAAGGAUGUUAAUGUCUUUUCACAUAAAUUAUUUUUAUUUAAAGUUAUUGCCACCUCAUCGGUGACUGCUAACAUCUUUUUCGAGGAUGCUCCGGUGACCGGCCGACGUAUUUUUCGACGACUCCGAUGGCCGGCCAACAUCUUUUCCUUCGAUACUCCGGUGACCGGCCGGUGAAUUUCCCGACGAGCCCCUGAUGACCGGUUAACGCUUUUUCUCACGAGUUUUUGGUGAAAAUUUAUAACCGGUUAUAUUUUAUAAAUUAUAAUCAAUUUUUUAUGACGGUUUAUAAAAAAUAUUAGUUAUAAUCAUUACUAGUUAUUAAAAAAUAUAAUAAGUCAUAAUCUUUACUUAGAACUAGUUAAUAUAUAACUGGUUAGAAUCUCUACUUAUAACAUAUAAUUGGUUAUAAAAGAAAUAUAACUGAUUAUAAAAGAAAAAUAAUUAAUUAUAAUUAUGAUUGAUUAUAAUCGUUACUCGAAUAACUUGUUUGCAACUUCUAAAAUUUAUUGUAAUGAUUCUACACCCUCCUUUUAUCUGCCCCUCGGUGCUUAACUUUUGAAUCUUUAUAAAAUAACCCUCCGUCCUUAACUGUAAAAGGUUCAAAAGUCACUAAUUACGAAAGUAAGGUUCAAAAGUAUUUAGCCAAUAUACAGAUCGGUCACUUAAAUUCAAAAAAUGCAGAAUAGUCACUCUUCCCUACCAAAUUUGAACGUCGUCGAUGAUGACUCCCGUUGUCGCAUCUUCCUCUUCCUCCUCUCCGAUGACGACCUAACUGUCACUGAGACCCACCAUCAUUGAUUCAGAUCGUAAUUUUAGAUAUCUCUUCAGGUCUAAUGGUGAUGAAUCUCCACCUCCGCUGUAAAACUCUCUCUCAACGCUAGUACUCCUCAACAGCUCUUCAGCUCAUCUACGAUGGAUCCUGAUGAAAAUCUUUGAAUCGAUCUCUUUCGACGAUUUGUCGAAAUCAAAUUAGUAGGACUUGGUUAAAGUCAAUAACCGCGCCUCCAAUAAUAAUGUAGAAGAAGGAAACCUUUAAAAAGGGAGGGGAAAAUAAAAAAAGGACAAUACAUAUGAAAUUCUGAAACUUAUUUAUUUGAAUUUUAAACUACUUCCGAAACUUUCAAAGGGGUGCAUCGAUAAUAUAUGCUGUGAAAAUUGUAUUUUUUAUUUCCUCACCAAACAUGUACGUACAUACAACACAAACAAUGAAAUUCAAAGCUUGUCGCCGUUCAACUUAAUAACAGAGUCAUAGAGAAAGAUCACGAAGCCUCCUUUCACAUUUUCCUACCUGCUUUUAUGACGUAUACGUGGAGGAGACCAUCACAGAAGUCAAAAGUUCAAGAGUACUCAUAAUGAUGCACUGGAGGUGGCGGCAACGAUGGAGGUGGUGGAGGCGGGCAGGGAGGCGGCGGAGAGGGAGGAGGUGGUGGCGGAGGUGGCGGAGGUGGCGGCGGCGGUGGAGGUGGAGGCGGAGGUGGAGGUGGAGGCGGAGGUGGAGGUGGAGGCGGAGGUGGAGGUGGAGGCGGAGGUGGAGGUGGAGGCGGAGGUGGAGGUGGAGGCGGAGGUGGAGGUGGAGGCGGAGGUGGAGGUGGAGGCGGAGGUGGAGGUGGAGGCGGAGGUGGAGGUGGAGGCGGAGGUGGAGGUGGAGGCGGAGGUGGAGGUGGAGGCGGAGGUGGAGGUGGAGGCGGAGGUGGAGGUGGAGGCGGAGGUGGAGGUGGAGGCGGAGGUGGAGGUGGAGGCGGAGGUGGAGGUGGAGGCGGAGGUGGAGGUGGAGGCGGAGGUGGAGGUGGAGGCGGAGGUGGAGGUGGAGGCGGAGGUGGAGGUGGAGGCGGAGGUGGAGGUGGAGGCGGAGGUGGAGGUGGAGGCGGAGGUGGAGGUGGAGGCGGAGGUGGAGGUGGAGGCGGAGGUGGAGGUGGAGGCGGAGGUGGAGGUGGAGGCGGAGGUGGAGGUGGAGGCGGAGGUGGAGGUGGAGGCGGAGGUGGAGGUGGAGGCGGAGGUGGAGGUGGAGGCGGAGGUGGAGGUGGAGGCGGAGGUGGAGGCAUGCAACCAAAGGAGCUACAAUGAACAGGGUAAAUCUUGCAUUCACCGGGAUUCCUCUGCAACGGCCGCUCCAACAAACAGUUCUUCCGGUCAUCUUUCGCCGGCAGCCGGAGACAAACGUCGGGUUCCUUAUUAAAGAAAUUGUACGAAUAAGUAAAAUUCUUCAACCGCGGCAACGCGCAGAUACCAGACGGUAUCUUCCCGGACAGCCUGUUGUGGGCCACAUUCAACUGCUCCAACUUGGUCAUCCUCACCAUCGAUUCCGGAAGGGGACCCACGAGGUCAUUAUUGCUGACGUCAAACACCUUCAGCUGAUCCAAUGCCCCUAAAUUGGGCUGCAAACACCCCCUCAGGCCCAUAUUGCUCAAAAUCACCUGGGUCAACGUGGGACCCAUCGUCAACAGACUCGCCGGGAUGCACGACCCGCCGAAGUUGUUAUUCGCCAACACCAACACCGACGCCGUCGAGUUCCCCAAGUUAGAAGGCAGCGACGACGUGAACCCGUUGUCAUUUAUGAAGAUGGCGUCAAAAUUGGUCUCAAACAGCUUGGAAGGGACGUUUCCUUGGAACUGGUUGAACCUUAUGUCUAGGAACUUUAGAGAAGGAAGUUCGAACACGACGGAAGGGAAUUCGCCGGAGAAUCGGUUGUUGCUUAUAUCGAGCUCGAAGAGGAGCUUGAGGUAGCGGAAGUUGUACGGGAGGGUUUUAACGAAGCGGUUGGAGUUGAUGUGGAAGAGGGCGAGGUCGGUGAGGAGGCCGAGAUCCUCCGGGAGGUAGCCUGAGAUGUUAGCGUGGUUGAUGUCUAUUCCGGCGACAGUUUGGAUUUUAGGGUCUUCGGGGGC